This 297-nucleotide microRNA precursor is filed under the name Prunus dulcis (almond). Its description in RNAcentral is "sRNA ncRNA". The record is from RNAcentral. Lineage: Eukaryota; Viridiplantae; Streptophyta; Magnoliopsida; Rosales; Rosaceae.
AGCUGGGGGGAUUUGAGAGAGAGAGAGAGAGAGAGAGAAGAAAAGAAAAAUAAAGCAAGAAGGGAGGGGGAUAAAGAAGGAUGGUAACUUCUUGCAAAGAACAAAGGCAAAGAAAAGCUAAAAAUGAGAGAGAGGUUCUCUCUCUCUCUCUGUGCUGAUAUCUCUGGCUGUGGUUGUGGCUGUGGGAGAAGGAAUCAAGGUGUCUGACACUAGAGGGGUCAUGUGCUUAGAGCCUUUGUUUCAACUUAACUCUCUCUCUCUCUCUCUCUCUCUCUCUCUCUCUCUCUCUCUCUCUCU